GUGGGCACAUUUUAUUUUUAAUCCAAACUGUAACAGAGGAGCUUUAUACAAAUGCAGAUUCUCAGCCUCAGCCCUGGAACUUCUCACCUGUGAGCACAAAUCUUAAGACAAGCCAGUGGGACUUAAUCCUGGAGUUGCUUCACUUGGAGAAUAAAACUGUCCACAGAAGGGAGAGCUUGAUAGCUAAUGAAGCCAACACAGAGGACAGCAGAGCCAAGAAUGGGGAGAGAGACUUGGCACUAUUUGAGCACCUGGAUUCAGCCAUACCUGAAGCCAACAUGUGACAAUCUCUUUUAAGAACCAAAGGAACCAAAGGAGGGAUUUAUGCUUUGUAGUGCCUCAAACCAUACUCUGAAAAUCCUUAACCUAAACAUCCCAAUAAAAGUUAUAAAUGUUAUAACUGAAGUUCCACGUCCCAGGUUCUUUACCAAUAUUUGCCAUUUUUAUUGUUGUUAACAGCCAUCCUAGCCCAGGCAUGGUGGCGCAUACUUGGGAGGCCAAGGCAAGAGUAUUGCCAUGAGUUUGAGGCCUGCCUGGGAUACACAGUGAGCUCAAGGCCAGCCUGAACUACAUAGUGAGACCCUGUCUCAAAAAACAAACAAAACCAAAC
RNAcentral lists this long non-coding RNA (610 nucleotides) under Heterocephalus glaber (naked mole-rat). Its description in RNAcentral is "lncRNA (ENSHGLG00100044474.1)". The record is from RNAcentral. Lineage: Eukaryota; Metazoa; Chordata; Mammalia; Rodentia; Bathyergidae.